Molecule: ribosomal RNA, 506 nt
Filed under: uncultured bacterium
Lineage: Bacteria
Description: partial 16S ribosomal RNA
Rfam family: Bacterial small subunit ribosomal RNA
Source: RNAcentral
GAUGAACGCUAGCGGCAGGCCUAACACAUGCAAGUCGAGGGGCAGCACAGGAAAGUAGUAAUACUAUUGGGAGGCGACCGGCGCACGGGUGCGUAACGCGUAUGCAACCUGCCCGUCACAGGGGGAUAAUCCGGAGAAAUCUGGUCUAAUACCCCAUAACAUAUGGAUCGGCAUCGGUUCAUGUUGAAAUUUUAGGAGGUGACGGAUGGGCAUGCGUAGUAGUAGCUUGUUGGUGAGGUAACGGCUCACCAAGGCGACGAUGCUUAGGGGGACUGAGAGGUUUUCCCCCCACACUGGUACUGAGACACGGACCAGACUCCUACGGGAGGCAGCAGUGAGGAAUAUUGGUCAAUGGGCGCAAGCCUGAACCAGCCAUGCCGCGUGCAGGAUGACGGCUCUAUGAGUUGUAAACUGCUUCUGUACGAGGGUAAAGUGGGUUACGUGUAACCUUUUGAAAGUAUCGUACGAAUAAGGAUCGGCUAACUCCGUGCCAGCCGCCGCAGUAA